GAAGAGCAGCCACGACCAUGCACCUAGACUGAUCUGUAGACAGAUACAAAGGAGCCUAAGGAGAGCCAAUCACAGCACAGCCUUGUUUGAAUUAAAGUGAGCCAGCUUAGCUUAUCCAAUCAGCACACUUCACUCAGAUUACAACAAGACCAACUCAUCCUCACCAUCCAUUCCCCUUAAGUUAUUUCUAUCCAUUAGAUAUAGGUUUAUGAGUUGCAAUGAUGUAAAGCCUAUAUAAGGAUGUGUCUUGGACGUUUUGUAACUCUUAAGAGAGUAUGGGGGGUUUUCCCCAUCUCCUUCAUAAAUAUAAAAGUGUGUUCUUGAUCAGAUUCCCUUAAUCUAUCCCUUUCUUAGUCUCUAAUCUCUUAAUCUUUCUAAGUCUCUUUGUUUCUGAUUCAAGUUCAUACUAGUUUCAUCAGACCUCUUAAUCAACUAGUUCAAGACCUUAUUCUUUGCCUCUCAUGGCUUCUCAUACACAUACAAAGCCAGAGCUCUCAAAUCUCAUAUGGUAUCAGAGCCAGGUUCAUCAGAACCUGAGCUGAAGCUUCCGCAAACACACUGCUCUCUCCUCAGCUCAAAUCCAAACCAUUGAAGCUCUCUCCAUCCAGUUCAGCUUCUUAUGAAGAAGAAGACUGAAGCUUGGCGAGUUCUCAUGGUUCCUCAUCCUGUUCUCUUCCUGUCCUGAUGGUGAUUCUUCUUGGAAGCAGAGGUGUAUGGACAAGGCCUAGCUAUCCUUGUACCAAGGCGCCUUGUCCAAGAGAAGAACACAUCCGGUUCCAAAGAAGAUGGUGUCAAGAGCUUGGCGCCUAGUGGAGAUGAAGAAAGGAGGGGUCUUUGAAGCUGAUGGUACAAGAUGGAGGCUAUGAACAGAAGGUGAAAGAGGUGGGUGACGAUCCACACUCUCAAGUCCAACAAAGCAUGGCCGGUUUCAUGAAAGGUUAAGGAACCAAUCUGGUUCCUUGUGGUAAACGAUUCUUAAAACCUUCUUAAUGAUGAGCAGAUGAUAAGAUGAGUUUUGUAUUGUGAUGUGUAUAGAUUGAAAAACCUGAGGAUAAUGUGAUUGCUAAAUAUAACUAGUUGAAUCUGUCCCAGGAUGCUUUAAAGGCUUGUUUAGUGGUUAAAGAGUAAAAUGCUUGCUCCUGUUAAGUAAUGAGUUUGCUAAAUGUGAAAUGAUAUUGUUUGAAGCUCAUGAACUGAAAACAGAUUGAAAGUAAUGCAUUGUCUGAUGUUAAGUGAUGAUAGUAAUGCUUAGCCUAAGUUAUAAAUGAAUGUGUGAUGAAUUGUAUUGUUGCAUUCAUGAAUUAAAACUGAUUAAGGUUAGUGCAUACUGUCAAAUGGCUGUCUUACAUUGAAGCAUUAGAUUCAUGUCUAAAUGAUGAGUAAAGGAGCUGUCAAAAAUUGCCUAAGUGUCUUGUAAUGAAUCUGUAUGAUCAUACUAGAACUUAGAGAAGUAAGCUUGCAAUGAUUUGAAACUUGGGUGUCUUGUUUGAUCUUGCAUUGCUUUAGUGAGACAUUGGUGUUCAAGCUUGAUGUGGAAUCAAGGACUGACCCAAUGCACCUAUGUCUAAUCUUCUCUGGAGGUUGAGUGGUGUUUCAGGUGCACAAGGAGUGUUCUUAGUUCUUCACCAAACCAAGAGAAAGAGGAAGGCAUUGCCCAUUGUCAUGAGCAAUGGAGAGCGGUUACUGAAGUGGUUAUGAGCCACUGGUUAGUGAAGACUCACGGCUGCUCACUUCCAAGCUUGGACCCUCAUUCUAUCCAAGCUUGAGGAGGGGAGUUAAGUGAGCAGAAGAAGAAAUUUCCACAAGAGCUUUCCCUGAAGAUGGCGAGUUGAAGAAAUGCUGCAAGGGCCUGAUGGUGUGAUCAUGAAGCUGCUCUCCCAAGCUUGACUUGUUCCACAUGGUCAAGCUUGAGGGGGAGUGUUGAGAAGACUUCAAAUGAUCACAAAGGUGCCGGUUCAAGAAGGUGGACGGCAGUGAGCAAAUGUAGAGAAUCAAGAAGCUCUCCUUCCAAGCUUGACUUGUUCCACAUGGUCAAGCUUGAGGGGGAGUGUUGAGAAGGCUUCUUGAUGAGAGCACUUGGCGGUUAUUCAAGAAGAGGAGCAUACCGGUUUGUGAAGCAAGAUGGAGGAUGGUGAAGCAAUCUCCAAGGCGGCCAGAGCAGAGCAGCCUUGGUACUACAGGCUGAGGCAUCCGAUCAUGAAGCUUUAGAACAAGGUGGAAACUCUAGAAGAAGAAGCAGCCAAGGCUCAGCUAUUACAAGAUGAAGAGUGAUGAGCAAGAGAAGAUGUGAUCUACCUUGCAUCACAAGAAGGGGCCGAGAUCCAGAGUCUUUGUGUCCCUUACAUUGUUGGUAAGGCACAAAGACUCACUGGCCAAUCCCUAAGCCUUGGAGACUUUACUCUUUUUCCCUCAUCAAGGUUUUGUCCCAAAGGGUUUUCCUUGGUGAGGUUUUUAAUGAGGAAGUUCUUCAAGGUUCCAAGCUUGACUUAGGAUCAGCUAAAGUCAAGCUUGAGGAGGAGUGUUAACUUGAAGAGAAGAAGUGGAGAAGCAAAAGUGAUGAGUUGAGUUGGUGCUUGUGCAAAGACAUGGCAAGAUCUUCAGAGAUUGUAUUUUAAGGCUUUGGGAGAGUCUUAAGGCUUCAGAAGUGGUCUGAUGAGUGUGCAAAGAUAGGGUUAAGUCCAGGAGGGACUUAGACACCAUUUAGAGAAGAUUUGGGUCAGACAGUAACUCCAAAGUUACUACAGUAACUUUGGAGAGUUACCACAGUAAGAUUGGAGAAGUUUGGGCAAGUUGGUGUAAAAGUGAAUAGUGAAUCACUAGUCACUAUUCAGGUUGACUAUUCACUAUUUGGAUCACUAUUCAGGAUGUGAGGCACCAAGGUUUGAAUCUAGUCAAAGGGAAUCAAGAAGAUGCUGUGUGGAGCUGAUUGGUUACUUUGGGGCAUGGACAGGCUGGCUGUUGCUGUAAAGGAAGAGCAGCCACGACCAUGCACCUAGACUGAUCUGUAGACAGAUACAAAGGAGCCUAAGGAGAGCCAAUCACAGCACAGCCUUGUUUGAAUUAAAGUGAGCCAGCUUAGCUUAUCCAAUCAGCACACUUCACUCAGAUUACAACAAGACCAACUCAUCCUCACCAUCCAUUCCCCUUAAGUUAUUUCUAUCCAUUUGAUAUAGGUUUAUGAGUUGCAAUGAUGUAAA
RNAcentral lists this long non-coding RNA (3197 nucleotides) under Brassica rapa (field mustard). RNAcentral's name for it is "long non-coding RNA (BRAP_LNC008171)". Lineage: Eukaryota; Viridiplantae; Streptophyta; Magnoliopsida; Brassicales; Brassicaceae. The record is from RNAcentral.